GUCCACGCUGUAAACGAUGAGGACUAGAUGUUGGUAGGGGAACCUAUCAGUAUCGAAGCUAACGCGAUAAGUCUUCCGCCUGGGAAGUACGGCCGCAAGGUUGAAACUCAACGGAAUUGACGGGGGCCCGCACAAGCGGUGGAGCAUGUGGUUUAAUUCGAUGCAACGCGAAGAACCUUACCUACCCUUGACAUCCUGCGAAGCUGGCUGAGAGGCUGGCGUGCCGAAAGGAGCGCAGAGACAGGUGCUGCAUGGCUGUCGU
This 262-nucleotide ribosomal RNA is filed under the name uncultured bacterium. RNAcentral describes it as "partial 16S ribosomal RNA". It matches the Rfam family "Bacterial small subunit ribosomal RNA", at positions 793 to 1055 of the family's 1533-position model. The record is from RNAcentral.